Molecule: ribosomal RNA, 253 nt
Filed under: uncultured bacterium
Lineage: Bacteria
Description: partial 16S ribosomal RNA
Rfam family: Bacterial small subunit ribosomal RNA
Source: RNAcentral
UACGUAGGGCGCGAGCGUUAAUCGGAAUUACUGGGCGUAAAGCGUGCGCAGGCGGCUUCGCAAGUCAGACGUGAAAUCCCCGGGCUUAACCUGGGAAUGGCGUUUGAAACUACGGAGCUGGAGUGUGGCAGAGGGAGGUAGAAUUCCACGUGUAGCGGUGAAAUGCGUAGAUAUGUGGAGGAAUACCGAUGGCGAAGGCAGCCUCCUGGGCCAACACUGACGCUCAUGCACGAAAGCGUGGGGAGCAAACAGG